RNAcentral lists this ribosomal RNA (253 nucleotides) under uncultured bacterium. RNAcentral describes it as "partial 16S ribosomal RNA". It matches the Rfam family "Bacterial small subunit ribosomal RNA", at positions 524 to 776 of the family's 1533-position model. The record is from RNAcentral.
UACGAAGGGGGCGAGCGUUGUUCGGAUUUACUGGGCGUAAAGGGCGCGUAGGCGGCGCGAGAAGUCGAGUGUGAAAGCCCCGGGCUCAACCUGGGAAUUGCAUUCGAGACUGCUCUGCUAGGGUGCGGAAGAGGGAAGCGGAAUUUCCGGUGUAGCGGUGAAAUGCGCAGAUAUCGGAAGGAACACCAGUGGCGAAAGCGGCUUCCUGGUCCAGCACCGACGUUCAGGCACGAAAGCGUGGGGAGCAAACAGG